This 443-nucleotide ribosomal RNA is filed under the name uncultured bacterium. RNAcentral describes it as "partial 16S ribosomal RNA". It matches the Rfam family "Bacterial small subunit ribosomal RNA", at positions 338 to 795 of the family's 1533-position model. The record is from RNAcentral.
CCUACGGGUGGCAGCAGUGGGGAAUAUUGGGCAAUGGGCGCAAGCCUGACCCAGCAACGCCGCGUGAAGGAAGAAGGCUUUCGGGUUGUAAACUUCUUUUGUCAGGGACGAAGCAAGUGACGGUACCGGACGAAUAAGCCACGGCUAACUACGUGCCAGCAGCCGCGGUAAUACGUAGGUGACAAGCGUUAUCCGGAUUUAUUGGGUGUAAAGGGCGGGUAGGCGGGAAUGCAAGUCAGAUGUGAAAACUAUGGGCUCAACCCAUAGCCUGCAUUUGAAACGGUAUUUCUUGAGUGCUGGAGAGGCAAUCGGAAUUCCGUGUGUAGCGGUGAAAUGCGUAGAUAUACGGCGGAACACCAGUGGCGACGGCGGAUUGCUGGACAGUACCUGACGCUGUGGCGCGAAAGCGUGGGGAGCAAACAGGAUUAGAUACCCGAGUAGUC